UGUGUCGCAUCCGCAGAGUGCGUGCGGGGAGCGGUCGCCAUAGCUACAGCGCCUGGUGUGCAUCCCACUAGUGUGGGAUCUGCUCGGGUGGAGGAUCAAGCAGGGAGCAGGGGAGUGUGGUGGCAUGGAAGGAGAGCACUGUGGGUGUUUGUGUCUGAGCUGAGGAGUGGAGUGGAGUCCGCUCCUCAACACAGGAGGCAAAAGGAGGAGGAGGAGCAAGCAGAUUCCCAAAGGAAAGAGAGCGUUGCUGUCAUCCUUUACCUUUGUAAGGAAGGGACAUUUUUAUGAGAGGCUCUGUCUUUUAUGGAGGAUGGAUCCCAUUUUGGAUCAGUUUUUAAUUAGUUUUCCUUAAGGACAAAGAGACAGAACAAGUGGAUAAUCAGGCCGUAAUAAACCAAAGGCGGAAGUGGAAAUCCAACCCUGCUAAGUAUCAGAGCGGCUGCAGUCCGCAUCGAUUGGGCAAGUCAUUCUGGAGAGGCGCUUGUCAUCCUUAUGUCUUUUCUUCUGAAUCGCGCCAGAAGAGGGACCAACAUAAAACAGAACAGCAUAGGUCUAUCUUCAAUAAAGAUGGAUAAACAAACGCAGGUGGUGGAAUGGACCUUAUCUCGGAGGUUUCGCUCUGCAGUCUGAACCUGCUCUCAAACCAGCUGAUAAACGGGACCGACCGCCGCUCCGCAGAAGCUCGGCAGGAGAUCCUGUCAAACCAAGUGAACGGGAAGCACAGAGACAUGUAGGACCUAAAGCAGCCAGCUUUUGCACAUACUCAGCUUUCAAUUUAGACUUAUAAACUAUAAUUUCAUGUUUGCUCCCUGUUGCAAACACAUCACUGUACCAAUAAAUAAAAAAAUAAAAAAGAC
Oryzias latipes (Japanese medaka) is the source of this 857-nucleotide non-coding RNA. The record is from RefSeq and is a predicted model, not a curated record. NCBI's taxonomy places the organism in Eukaryota, Metazoa, Chordata, Actinopteri, Beloniformes, Adrianichthyidae.